RNAcentral lists this ribosomal RNA (1474 nucleotides) under Lactiplantibacillus plantarum. Its description in RNAcentral is "bacterial SSU rRNA". It matches the Rfam family "Bacterial small subunit ribosomal RNA". Lineage: Bacteria; Bacillati; Bacillota; Bacilli; Lactobacillales; Lactobacillaceae. The record is from RNAcentral.
UGGCGGCGUGCCUAAUACAUGCAAGUCGAACGAACUCUGGUAUUGAUUGGUGCUUGCAUCAUGAUUUACAUUUGAGUGAGUGGCGAACUGGUGAGUAACACGUGGGAAACCUGCCCAGAAGCGGGGGAUAACACCUGGAAACAGAUGCUAAUACCGCAUAACAACUUGGACCGCAUGGUCCGAGCUUGAAAGAUGGCUUCGGCUAUCACUUUUGGAUGGUCCCGCGGCGUAUUAGCUAGAUGGUGGGGUAACGGCUCACCAUGGCAAUGAUACGUAGCCGACCUGAGAGGGUAAUCGGCCACAUUGGGACUGAGACACGGCCCAAACUCCUACGGGAGGCAGCAGUAGGGAAUCUUCCACAAUGGACGAAAGUCUGAUGGAGCAACGCCGCGUGAGUGAAGAAGGGUUUCGGCUCGUAAAACUCUGUUGUUAAAGAAGAACAUAUCUGAGAGUAACUGUUCAGGUAUUGACGGUAUUUAACCAGAAAGCCACGGCUAACUACGUGCCAGCAGCCGCGGUAAUACGUAGGUGGCAAGCGUUGUCCGGAUUUAUUGGGCGUAAAGCGAGCGCAGGCGGUUUUUUAAGUCUGAUGUGAAAGCCUUCGGCUCAACCGAAGAAGUGCAUCGGAAACUGGGAAACUUGAGUGCAGAAGAGGACAGUGGAACUCCAUGUGUAGCGGUGAAAUGCGUAGAUAUAUGGAAGAACACCAGUGGCGAAGGCGGCUGUCUGGUCUGUAACUGACGCUGAGGCUCGAAAGUAUGGGUAGCAAACAGGAUUAGAUACCCUGGUAGUCCAUACCGUAAACGAUGAAUGCUAAGUGUUGGAGGGUUUCCGCCCUUCAGUGCUGCAGCUAACGCAUUAAGCAUUCCGCCUGGGGAGUACGGCCGCAAGGCUGAAACUCAAAGGAAUUGACGGGGGCCCGCACAAGCGGUGGAGCAUGUGGUUUAAUUCGAAGCUACGCGAAGAACCUUACCAGGUCUUGACAUACUAUGCAAAUCUAAGAGAUUAGACGUUCCCUUCGGGGACAUGGAUACAGGUGGUGCAUGGUUGUCGUCAGCUCGUGUCGUGAGAUGUUGGGUUAAGUCCCGCAACGAGCGCAACCCUUAUUAUCAGUUGCCAGCAUUAAGUUGGGCACUCUGGUGAGACUGCCGGUGACAAACCGGAGGAAGGUGGGGAUGACGUCAAAUCAUCAUGCCCCUUAUGACCUGGGCUACACACGUGCUACAAUGGAUGGUACAACGAGUUGCGAACUCGCGAGAGUAAGCUAAUCUCUUAAAGCCAUUCUCAGUUCGGAUUGUAGGCUGCAACUCGCCUACAUGAAGUCGGAAUCGCUAGUAAUCGCGGAUCAGCAUGCCGCGGUGAAUACGUUCCCGGGCCUUGUACACACCGCCCGUCACACCAUGAGAGUUUGUAACACCCAAAGUCGGUGGGGUAACCUUUUAGGAACCAGCCGCCUAAGGUGGGACAGAUGAUU